CAGUCGCCACUGGAAUACGAAGGGUGCAAGCGUUACUCGGAAUUACUGGGCGUAAAGCGUGCGUAGGUGGUGGUUUAAGUCCGUUGUGAAAGCCCUGGGCUCAACCUGGGAAUUGCAGUGGAUACUGGGUCACUAGAGUGUGGUAGAGGAUAGUGGAAUUUCCGGUGUAGCAGUGAAAUGCGUAGAGAUCGGAAGGAACAUCUGUGGCGAAGGCGACUAUCUGGGCCAACACUGACACUGAGGCACGAAAGCGUGGGGAGCAAACAGGAUUAGAUACCCGGGUAGUCCCUGUCUCUUAUAC
Molecule: ribosomal RNA, 301 nt
Filed under: uncultured bacterium
Lineage: Bacteria
Description: partial 16S ribosomal RNA
Rfam family: Bacterial small subunit ribosomal RNA
Source: RNAcentral